AUUGAACGCUGGCGGCAUGCCUUACACAUGCAAGUCGAACGGCAGCAUGGAGAGCUUGCUCUCUGAUGGCGAGUGGCGAACGGGUGAGUAAUGCAUCGGAACGUACCGUGUAAUGGGGGAUAACGUAGCGAAAGUUACGCUAAUACCGCAUACGACCUGAGGGUGAAAGCAGGGGAUCGCAAGACCUUGCGUUAUACGAGCGGCCGAUGUCAGAUUAGCUAGUUGGUGAGGUAAAGGCUCACCAAGGCGACGGUCUGUAGCGGGUCUGAGAGGAUGAUCCGCCACACUGGGACUGAGACACGGCCCAGACUCCUACGGGAGGCAGCAGUGGGGAAUUUUGGACAAUGGGGGCAACCCUGAUCCAGCCAUGCCGCGUGAGUGAAGAGGGCCUUCGGGUUGUAAAGCUCUUUCGGCCGGGAAGAAAUCGCACAGGCUAAUACUCUGUGUGGAUGACGGUACCGGCAUAAGAAGCACCGGCUAACUACGUGCCAGCCGCCGCGGUAA
Molecule: ribosomal RNA, 504 nt
Filed under: uncultured bacterium
Lineage: Bacteria
Description: partial 16S ribosomal RNA
Rfam family: Bacterial small subunit ribosomal RNA
Source: RNAcentral